UUCCGGUUGAUCCUGCCGGACCCGACUGCUAUUUGGGUGAGAAUAAGCCAUGCGAGUUGAAUGGGAUGCCUAAAGUUCCCAUAGCAAACUGCUCAGUAACACAUGAUCAACUUACCCUAUAGAGAAAAAUAACCUCGGGAAACUGAGGAUAAUGUUUCAUAAUUGAAUUGGCUUGGAAAAGUUUUUCAAUGAAAGGGAUAAAAAAAAUGGUUUUUAUCUGCUAUAGGAUAGGAUCGUGUUCGAUUAUGGUUGUUGGUGAGAUAAUGGCUCACCAAGCCGAUAAUCGAUAGGGGCCGUGAGAGCGGGAGCCCCGAGAUGGGUACUGAGACAACGACCCAGGCCUUACGAGGCGCAGCAGGCGCGGAACCUCCGCAAUACACGAAAGUGUGACGGGGUUACCCAAAGUGUUCAAUAGAACUGUGGUAGGUGAGUAAUGUCCCCUACUAGAAAGGAGAGGGCAAGGCUGGUGCCAGCCGCCGCGGUAAAACCAGCUCUUCAAGUGGUCGGGAUAAUUAUUGGGCUUAAAGUGUCCGUAGCCGGUUUAGCAAGUUCCUGGUAAAAUCGGGUAGCUUAACUAUCUGCAUGCUAGGAAUACUGCUAUACUAGAGGGCGGGAGAGGUCUGAGGUACUACAGGGGUAGGGGUGAAAUCUUAUAAUCCUUGUAGGACCACCAGUGGCGAAGGCGUCAGACUGGAACGCGCCUGACGGUGAGGGACGAAGGCCAGGGGAGCGAACCGGAUUAGAUACCCGGGUAGUCCUGGCCGUAAACGAUGCAUACUAGGUGAUGGUACGGCCAUGAGCCGUAUCAGUGCCGUAGGGAAACCGUUAAGUGUGCCGCCUGAGAAGUACGGUCGCAAGGCUAAAACUUAAAGGAAUUGGCGGGGAGCACCACAAGGGGUGAAGCCUGCGGUUCAAUUGGAUUCAACGCCGGGAAUCACUAGUGCGGCCGC
RNAcentral lists this ribosomal RNA (950 nucleotides) under uncultured archaeon. Its description in RNAcentral is "partial 16S rRNA". It matches the Rfam family "Archaeal small subunit ribosomal RNA", at positions 1 to 943 of the family's 1478-position model. The record is from RNAcentral.